UGGGGAAUAUUGCACAAUGGGCGAAAGCCUGAUGCAGCGACGCCGCGUGAGGGACGAAGGUCUUCGGAUUGUAAACCUCUUUCAGCAGGGACGAAGCGAAAGUGACUGUACCUGCAGAAGAAGCACCGGCUAACUACGUGCCAGCAGCCGCGGUAAUACGUAGGGUGCAAGCGUUGUCCGGAUUUAUUGGGCGUAAAGAGCUCGUAGGCGGUUCGUCACGUCGGAUGUGAAAACCUGGGGCUUAACCCCGGGCCUGCAUACGAUACGAGCGAACUAGAGUUCGGUAGGGGAGACUGGAAUUCCUGGUGUAGCGGUGAAAUGCGCAGAUAUCAGGAGGAACACCGGUGGCGAAGGCGGGUCUCUGGGCCGAUACUGACGCUGAGGAGCGAAAGCGUGGGGAGCAAACA
Molecule: ribosomal RNA, 407 nt
Filed under: uncultured bacterium
Lineage: Bacteria
Description: bacterial SSU rRNA
Rfam family: Bacterial small subunit ribosomal RNA
Source: RNAcentral